This 286-nucleotide long non-coding RNA is filed under the name Phascolarctos cinereus (koala). RNAcentral's name for it is "lncRNA (ENSPCIG00000033052.1)". The record is from RNAcentral. Lineage: Eukaryota; Metazoa; Chordata; Mammalia; Diprotodontia; Phascolarctidae.
AUGAAAAAAAGAGAGAACACCAUACAAGGGAAAAGCAAUAAAAGGCGCAUUUUAUCAUGCUUCAGGUGUUUCUUAUGGCUAAGUAGAAAACAGAAAAGAGUACAACAAGAAAAGCCAGUUUUGUCAGACACUCAAAGAACCAGGGAUGAAUCCAGAAAAAAUAUUCCAGCAGUCACAGCAGCCACAGGUUACACUACUUUAUCAUGUUUAGCUACUAAAAAUAGUAGGAAAAAUCGAAGGAAUAAAAUGUAAGGAAAGUAAACUUUUGUCACCAUGAUUUUGUCAU